RNAcentral lists this non-coding RNA (165 nucleotides) under uncultured Eubacterium sp. RNAcentral describes it as "Lysine riboswitch". It matches the Rfam family "Lysine riboswitch aptamer". From Rfam's summary of the family: Riboswitches are metabolite binding domains within certain messenger RNAs that serve as precision sensors for their corresponding targets. Lineage: Bacteria; Bacillati; Bacillota; Clostridia; Eubacteriales; Eubacteriaceae. The record is from RNAcentral.
UGUAGGUAGAGGUGCGGACUUUAUCAGUAGCAGAUUGGACAUAUUCAGGUAUGGAAGAAGAUUUGUGAAAGGAACGUUCGCCGAAGAGGAAGAUAGCCUGUUCUUUGUUCUUCUGGGCGCAUAGUGAACAACUAUGUGACUGUCAUCUUAUGAUGGAGUGCUACU